This 254-nucleotide ribosomal RNA is filed under the name uncultured bacterium. Its description in RNAcentral is "partial 16S ribosomal RNA". It matches the Rfam family "Archaeal small subunit ribosomal RNA", at positions 474 to 727 of the family's 1478-position model. The record is from RNAcentral.
CACCAGCGCCACGAGUGGCCAUCACAAUUAUUGGGCCUAAAGCGUCCGUAGUCGGUUGUGUGCAUCUUCUGUGAAAUCGCAGCGCCUAACGUUGCGGCAUGCGGGAGACACGGCACGACUUGAGAGCGGGAGGCGUCAGGGGUAUUCCACGGGGACCGGUAAAAUGGUAUAAUCCGUGGAGGACCACCUGUGGCGAAGGCGCCUGACGAGAACGCAUCUGACGAUGAGGGACGAAAGCCAGGGGAGCAAACCGG